CUCAUCUCUUGUAUCCUCAAACACUAAGAUACUGAUGUUCUUUUCCUCUUCUCACCAUUCCCUUGCAUGCCAUUUUUUUCAGGUAACCAGGUUCAAUGAAGAAUGGGAGAAUUAUGUUUACUGAUAAUGUGCAUUUUUAUUUACUGUGCCUUAUUAGUUCAUUUGGCAUGGACGCCCUUACUUUUGCAUCAGCUCAGGCUUAGCAAGAAAGAUUCUCAUCCUGUUUUAAUUGCUGACCCAUGAAUGAUUAAUCUUGACCCCCCACCCUCAAGCAACUCUGUUGCUUUUCGCUUGCGAGAACGCAGUUCUGUAAUCUAGCUUAACUCAGACCGAUUCCUUAUUUUAUUGAUAAUCUCAUCUAUUUGUCAUGUGAGUAAUUUAAGUGGCGCUUAAACAACAAUGAAACAAUUGUCCAGAUGUGGUUGGAACAAAACCAUAUCCACUUGCCGUCAAAAAAAAAGAAAAGAAAAAUAAGUGCAAAUUUGUUAUUUCUUGUUCCUCGUAUGGUUAAAGAUGGUCUUCCUCGUAUGGUUGAAGAUGGUCUUGUUUCUCACUAUGAAUUAUUCUUGUGCUUGCAGAUGGAUGAUACUCUGACAACUGGAAGCAUCAGGAGUACAGAGGGGGAAAAGAGACGUUUAGCAGAGGCUUCACUUGCCUACAACUGUGAGAGCACCAUCAUCCACAUAUUAACGUGCGCAGCGUGAAGCCGCGCUUGUUCUUCUAGUAACAUCCAAUGGCCAAUGCUAUCUAGAGAAUAUUCAUCAAGAGCAGUUAAGUAUGCAAAUUAUUCAGGAGUUGAAUAGUUCCAAAAAGUUGGUAUAGAGCAUGCUAUCUAGUAAUUCCUUGAUGACAUGCACAUCAUUUUAGAACACUUAGUCUUUACUUGGAUUUUGAAUAUUUCUGUUGAAAUGUGAACACUGACUUUCGACAUGGUCACUACCUCAAAUGAAUCAUUAAUAUACCUUGCCUGAUUUUUGUUUUUGCAGGAUAUAGAAGACUAAAUGAUUUACAGAUUACAGGGGAAAAGAGAAACGGCCAAUUAAUCAGUUCUACAUGUAGAAAGCUGUAGAUAGCUUUAAUUAGUGAGACAAUUGUGUGAACUUCAUUUUUUUUUUGCCAUUGCACCUUUUUUUUUUGGUUUAAAUGUACCGUUGAGCUGUAACUUCGAUGAUUUAUCCAAUAUAAAUAAAAAUAGUUAUGAUCAUAUAAA
Molecule: non-coding RNA, 1210 nt
Organism: Oryza sativa Japonica Group (Japanese rice)
Lineage: Eukaryota; Viridiplantae; Streptophyta; Magnoliopsida; Poales; Poaceae
Source: RefSeq, a predicted model, not a curated record